Long non-coding RNA from Bombyx mori (domestic silkworm), 633 nucleotides. RefSeq lists it as uncharacterized. The transcript is spliced from 2 exons. The record is from RefSeq and is a predicted model, not a curated record. Lineage: Eukaryota; Metazoa; Arthropoda; Insecta; Lepidoptera; Bombycidae.
CGUCCCAACAGGCUGUUGGCGGCCCGAUACCGCACAGAGCGCCCGCCUCGCCAGUUAGUGUUGGGCAAGCUAUCGGAACUGACGUACGUCACGUUUUUUUUAUUCCUUAAAAUUAAAGGCACGAUGUCAGGCAACAAAAGAAAGAUAAAUAUUUUGGAAAAUAAAUUAAUUUGCGGUGCAGAUAGUGAUAGUGACAGCAGUCAGGAGAUAUUUUCCUUGAAAAUGAGAAGAAGGUUUCAAAGAAAGAAUUUACAGAAGCAUUAAUACAAUCAAUUACUGGAAAAAAUAUAUGCCCUGAUAGUAAGUAUAACGACGUGCAACAUAACUGUAACCAUCUUUAGACCUAUGUUGAAGGUGAUUCCUUCUGUUUCGUGUUGACGACGUUCUACCUCUGCAACAGGAAAUCAAGUAACACCUACGGCCGAUCAUAUCCUUGAGAUGAGCCGUAAACGGCGAAAUUGUGUGGGGUGCUAUGAAAAACUGCGGGAAACCAUGAAGAGUUCCGAGGUGAAAAGGAAAGUAAAAAAAAUUAAAACAUACUGCAGAAUAUGCAAGCAAAAUCUUUGUGCGAAAUGUUUUAAAGACAGCCAUUAAUAAAUAAUUAAAUAAACAAUUUUUAUUUCUUUACUUUAA